Molecule: ribosomal RNA, 264 nt
Filed under: uncultured bacterium
Lineage: Bacteria
Description: partial 16S ribosomal RNA
Rfam family: Bacterial small subunit ribosomal RNA
Source: RNAcentral
GUCCGAGCCGUAAACGAUGGACACUAGGUGUCAUGGGUAUCGACCCCCGUGGUGCCGUAGCUAACGCGUUAAGUGUCCCGCCUGGGGAGUACGGUCGCAAGACUGAAACUCAAAGGAAUUGACGGGGGCCCGCACAAGCGGUGGAGCAUGUGGUUUAAUUCGAUGCAACGCGAAGAACCUUACCAAGGCUUGACAUGUCGAGAACUCUGGUGAAAGCCGGAGGUGCCGCAAGGAGCUCGAACACAGGUGGUGCAUGGCUGUCGU